CCUUCGAUAGCUCAGCUGGUAGAGCGGAGGACUGUAGUGUGCUAACAAAGUCAUCCUUAGGUCGCUGGUUCGACUCCGGCUCGAAGGA
Transfer RNA from Anolis carolinensis (green anole), 88 nucleotides. It matches the Rfam family "tRNA". From Rfam's summary of the family: Transfer RNA (tRNA) molecules are approximately 80 nucleotides in length. Their secondary structure includes four short double-helical elements and three loops (D, anti-codon, and T loops). Further hydrogen bonds mediate the characteristic L-shaped molecular structure. tRNAs have two regions of fundamental functional importance: the anti-codon, which is responsible for specific mRNA codon recognition, and the 3' end, to which the tRNAs corresponding amino acid is attached (by aminoacyl-tRNA synthetases). tRNAs cope with the degeneracy of the genetic code in two manners: having more than one tRNA (with a specific anti-codon) for a particular amino acid; and 'wobble' base-pairing, i.e. permitting non-standard base-pairing at the 3rd anti-codon position. NCBI's taxonomy places the organism in Eukaryota, Metazoa, Chordata, Lepidosauria, Squamata, Anolidae. The record is from Rfam.